CCUACGGGUGGCAGCAGUGAGGAAUAUUGGUCAAUGGGCGAGAUCCUGAACCAGCCAAGCCGCGUGAAGGAUGACGGCCCUAUGGGUUGUAAACCUCUUUUGUCGGGGAACAAAACCCGGGACGUGUCCCGGACUGCGUGUAUCCGAAGAAAAAGCAUCGGCUAACUCCGUGCCAGCAGCCGCGGUAAUACGGAGGAUGCGAGCGUUAUCCGGAUUUAUUGGGUUUAAAGGGUGCGUAGGCGGUCCGUUAGGUCAGCGGUAAAAUUGCGGGGUUCAACCCAGUAGUGCAGUUGAAACUGGCAGACUUGAGUUGGCGAGAGGUACGCGGAAUUCGAGGUGUAGCGGUGAAAUGCAUAGAUAUCGCGAAGAACUCCGAUUGCGAAGGCAGCGUACUGGCGCCAGACUGACGCUGAGGCGCGAAAGCGUGGGGAUCGAACAGGAUUAGAUACCCCAGUAGUC
This 459-nucleotide ribosomal RNA is filed under the name uncultured bacterium. RNAcentral's name for it is "partial 16S ribosomal RNA". It matches the Rfam family "Bacterial small subunit ribosomal RNA", at positions 338 to 795 of the family's 1533-position model. The record is from RNAcentral.